This 453-nucleotide ribosomal RNA is filed under the name uncultured bacterium. RNAcentral describes it as "bacterial SSU rRNA". It matches the Rfam family "Bacterial small subunit ribosomal RNA", at positions 340 to 786 of the family's 1533-position model. The record is from RNAcentral.
UACGGGAGCAGCAGUGGGGAAUAUUGCACAAUGGGCGCAAGCCUGAUGCAGCCAUGCCGCGUGUAUGAAGAAGGCCUUCGGGUUGUAAAGUACUUUCAGUCGUGAGGAAGGUGUUAAGGUUAAUAACCUUAGCAAUUGACGUUAGCGACAGAAGAAGCACCGGCUAACUCCGUGCCAGCAGCCGCGGUAAUACGGAGGGUGCGAGCGUUAAUCGGAAUUACUGGGCGUAAAGGGCACGCAGGCGGUUAAUUAAGUUGGAUGUGAAAUCCCCGGGCUUAACCUGGGAAUGGCAUUCAAGACUGGUUAGCUAGAGUCUUGUAGAGGGGGUAGAAUUCCAUGUGUAGCGGUGAAAUGCGUAGAGAUGUGGAGGAAUACCGGUGGCGAAGGCGGCCCCUGGGACAAAGACUGACGCUCAUGUGCGAAAGCGUGGGGAGCAAACAGGGAUUAGAUACC